This 2879-nucleotide ribosomal RNA is filed under the name Staphylococcus aureus. RNAcentral describes it as "23S ribosomal RNA". Lineage: Bacteria; Bacillati; Bacillota; Bacilli; Caryophanales; Staphylococcaceae. The record is from RNAcentral.
GUUCUUCCGGGCGCCCGGUGGCUGCCUUGGCCCUCGCCGCCGCUGCCGGCCGUUCCUCCCGCCGCUCUGCUUUGGGGCGCUGUCCGUCCGCUUUGCUCCCGCGCUUUCCGCCUGGGGCCCCCCGCCUGCGUUCUGUCCUGUUCUCGCUCUGUGCCUCCCUCGCCUCUCCGCCGGCCCCCCCGGCGCCCUGCCCCCUCUUCGUCCCCGGCGGCCGCGCCCGCCCCUUCGCUUCCCUUCGUCGCGGCGCGCGCCCCGGGCCGCGCCCCCCCCCCCCGCUUGCUUGUUGGGGUUGUCGGCCCCUCUCUCCGGCGUUCCCCCGGCCGCCCUUCGCCGCCUCCUCUGGCCCGCUGCCUCCCCGCCGGUCCUCCUCCUGUCGUCGCCCUGUUGUCUCUCUUGCGUGGCUCCUGCGUCCGCCGGCGCCCGUGCCCUUCCGUCGGCCUCUGGGCGGCCCCUCUCCUCCGGCUCCCUCCUCUCUCGUGCCCGCUCGUGCCCCCGUCCCGUGCGGGCCCGGUGCCCCGCCCCCCGGCCGGGGCGUGCCCUCGCCCCUGCCCCCGUGUGCUUCCCCGUCGUCCGCGCCCGUUCCUGGGUGCUGGCGUGCCUUUUGUCGCCUGCCCCGGCGCGUUCCGCUUUGCUGCCCGGUUCCGCCGUCCCUGUGGCGCCGUCGCGCCCGCGCGUCUGCCUCGGGCGUUUCGUCUUUGGUCGUCGCCCCGCCCCCGGUGCUCUCCCCUUGGUCCGGUUGCCGUUCCGGUCCCCCUGCCUGGCGGCCCGCCCCGCCUUCCGUUGCCCCGUGCGCGGCUGCCCUGCGGGUCGCGGCGCCCUUCCCUCGCCCCUGGCGCUCGCUGGUUCUCUCCGCCCUCGCUUUCGGGCUCGCCUCCCGUGCUGCUUCUUGGCGGUCGCGCCCUGUUUGGCCGCGGGGCCCCUCUCGGGUUCCCGCCUUCCGCCCCCCUCCGCCUGCCCCUUCCUUUCCCUUGGGCGUCCGCCCCUGGGUGCUCCGGUCCGUGUUCGCCCGGGCCCCCGCCCCGCCCCCCCGCUCCGGUCCCCCCCUCUCUGUUCCGUGGCCCCGGCUGUGGCGUUGCCCCGCCCCCUCGGCUGUUGGCUUCGCCGCCGCCCUCCUUUCCCGCGUGCGUCCUCGCUCCCUCGUCGCGUGCCCCUGCGCCGCCCCUGUCCCGGGGCUCCCCCUCUUCCCGCCGCUGUGGCUUGUCCUUUGGCCCCUGGUCGGCGCGCGUUCUCCGGGCGUUGCCGCCUGCUCGUCCGGCCCUGUGGCGCGCUUCGCCGUGCGCCUGCCGGUGUGCGUCGCGCCCGCCGGGUGCGCCUCCCGUCCCCCGCUUGCCUCCGGUUUCCCGCGGCCGGCUCGUCCGCUCUGGGUUCGUCGGGUCCUCCGCUGCGGCCGCCCGGCGUCGGCGCUGGCUCCCCGGUUGCUCUUCCUGUCCCCCCUCUCCUCGUUUUCCUCGCUGGGGGCCGCCGUCGGCUCGGCGCCGCGUGCGCUUGGCUUGCCCGUCUCCGCCGUCCGGCUGCGUCUUCGGCCCCUCCGGUCCUCGUUCCGGCUGCGCUGUGCUGGGGCGCCGCCCUUGUGUCUUCGCGUCGUUGCUUUCCCCCUGCCGCGCCCCGCCUCUCGCUCGCCCCUCGGUGCCCGUCCCGCCCCCCGCCCCCGGUCGUCCCGCUGCGCCUUCUCCGGUGCGCGCGCGCCCUCUCGUUCCGGCCCUCGGCCCCCUGCCCCCGUCCCUUCGGGCGCCGGGGUGCUCUUUCGGGUUCCCGCCCCGCCGCGCCGCCGUGCCUCGGCCCCGCGCCUGUUUCUCCCCCCCCCGGUCUCUGCUCCCCCGUCCGGUGCUGUCUCGGGGCUGCCGCCUGCCCGGUGCUGGCCGGUUCCGCGGCGUGGUUCGCUUCUGCGCCGCUCCGCCUCGCCGCCCCCGUCCCCGGCGGCCGUCCCUCUCCCGGUCCUCCGGUCGCGCCCUUCCUUGUCGGGUCCGUUCCGCCCCGCCCGCCCGGCGUCCCGCUUUGGGCCCUGUCUCCCCGCGCGCCUCGGUGCCCUCCUCGUCCCUGUGCCGCUGCCGGUUCCCCGCGCCCGGCCGGCCCGCCCCCGUGGCGCUUUCCUGUCGCCUGCUCUUGCCCUUCGGCCCCGCUUGUCCCGGCUCGGUCGGCGCCUUUGCCCCGUGCGCGCUCGCUUCCGUGGCGGCGCUGGUGGGCUCCUCCCCUCGCUGUGUUGGCUUUCUCCCCGCCCCCCUUCUCGUGGUGGGCGCCCGUGUCCGGCGGGCCGUUUGCCUGGGGCGGUCGCCUCCUCCCCGGUCCCGGCGGCGCUCCCCGGUUCCCUCCGCCUGGUUGGCCCUCCUUCCUCGCGUGUCCCGGCCUCCGGGCGCUUGCCUGCGCGCCCUCCCCGUCGCGCCGGGUCGCCCGCCGGCCUUCGUGCUCCGGUGGUUCCGCCUGGCCGGGCCCUCGCUCCCCGGCUCCCCGCUCCCCCGGGGCUCCCCGGCUUCUCUCCCCCCCGCGUUCCCCUCGCCGGGGCGGUUUGGCCCCUCGCUGUCGGCUCCUCGCCUCCUGGGGCUGUCGUCGGUCCCCCGGGUUGGGCUGUUCGCCCCUUCCCGCGGUCCGCGCGCUGGGUUCCGCCCGUCGUGCGCCCGUUCGGUCCCUCUCCGUCGUGGGCGUCGGCCCUUUGCGCGGCGCUGUCCUUCGUCCGCGCGGCCCGGGCUGGCCCUCCCUCUGGUGUCCCCGUUGUCGUGCCCCCGGCCUCGCUGGGUCGCUCUGUGUGGCCGGGCUCCGUGCUGCCCGCCUCUCCGCCUGCCGCCCCCUCCCGCUGCGCUUUCCCCCCUUCGGUUCUCCGCUCCCUCCCCGCUGCUGCGGUUCCUCGGUUCGCGGUGGCCGCCUGGUGCCCUGUGGCGCUGCCG